UACGGAGGAUGCAAGCGUUAUCCGGAAUGAUUGGGCGCAAAGCGUCCGCAGGUGGCAGUUCAAGUCUGCUGUCAAAGACCGGGGCUUAACUUCGGAAAGGCAGUGGAAACUGAACAGCUAGAGUAUGGUAGGGGCAGAGGGAAUUCCUGGUGUAGCGGUGAAAUGCGUAGAGAUCAGGAAGAACAUCGGUGGCGAAGGCGCUCUGCUGGACCAUAACUGACACUCAGGGACGAAAGCUAGGGGAGCGAAUGGG
Molecule: ribosomal RNA, 253 nt
Filed under: uncultured bacterium
Lineage: Bacteria
Description: partial 16S ribosomal RNA
Rfam family: Bacterial small subunit ribosomal RNA
Source: RNAcentral